RNAcentral lists this unclassified non-coding RNA (321 nucleotides) under Hevea brasiliensis (rubber tree). Lineage: Eukaryota; Viridiplantae; Streptophyta; Magnoliopsida; Malpighiales; Euphorbiaceae. The record is from RNAcentral.
CUGUGUACCUAUUGUGGCUCUUUGCUGGACUUCCCCUCUUUAUUUCCUCCCCAAUCUCUCUUUUUCUGCCCUUUUUGUCAGUAGAAGCAAUCUGUUUCAGAAAUGUCGGAGGAGGAUGAAUAUCGCUGUUUUAUUGGUAACUUGUCCUGGUCGACAUCUGAUCGAGGAUUAAAGGAUGCGUUUGAGAAGUUUGGCCAUCUUGUUGAUGCAAAGGUUGUACUUGACAAGUUCUCUGGCCGAUCUCGUGGAUUUGGUUUUGUCACAUUUGAUGAGAAGAGAGCGAUGGAAGAUGCCAUCGAAGCAAUGAAUGGAAUGGACUUA